Molecule: ribosomal RNA, 253 nt
Filed under: uncultured bacterium
Lineage: Bacteria
Description: partial 16S ribosomal RNA
Rfam family: Bacterial small subunit ribosomal RNA
Source: RNAcentral
UACAGAGGGGGCAAGCGUUAUUCGGAAUUAUUGGGCGUAAAGGGCGCGUAGGCGGCCUGGCAAGUGGAAGGUGAAAUCCCUCGGCUUAACCGAGGAACUGCCCUCCAAACUGCUUGGCUUGAGACCGGGAGAGGUGAGUGGAAUUCCCAGUGUAGCGGUGAAAUGCUUAGAGAUGACAUAGAACACCAAUUGCGAAGGCAGCUGGCUACACAUAUAUUGACACUGAGGCACGAAAGCGUGGGGAUCAAACAGG